RNAcentral lists this ribosomal RNA (154 nucleotides) under Rhizoctonia solani. RNAcentral describes it as "5.8S ribosomal RNA". It matches the Rfam family "5.8S ribosomal RNA". Rfam says of the family: 5.8S ribosomal RNA (5.8S rRNA) is a component of the large subunit of the eukaryotic ribosome. It is transcribed by RNA polymerase I as part of the 45S precursor that also contains 18S and 28S rRNA. The record is from RNAcentral. Lineage: Eukaryota; Fungi; Basidiomycota; Agaricomycetes; Cantharellales; Ceratobasidiaceae.
AAGUUCCAACAACGGAUCUCUUGGCUCUCGCAUCGAUGAAGAACGCAGCGAAAUGCGAUAAGUAAUGUGAAUUGCAGAAUUCAGUGAAUCAUCGAAUCUUUGAACGCACCUUGCGCUCCUUGGUAUUCCUUGGAGCAUGCCUGUUUGAGUAUCA